CAGAGGGAAGCAGGGAGGGGCACAGCGAGCACCGGACAGGCGAGGCCGGAGCGUGGGGGAGGGAGGAGGAGAGAGACGGAGACCCAGACACGAUGGAAGGAAGCAGAUGAGCUGAGCGCGCACAAAGCACAGAGACAGGGCGGCCGCGGCACCUCCGCGCACAGGCGGCGGCUGCGGCUCCUCCACCUCCCUGCGCCCUAAGCCCCGCACCCCCUUCCUCGGCCGGCCCCGGAGCAGCCCGCGGUGGGGCUGCGGGUGGGAGGUGACCUUGGACUUCCAGGCGGCUACAUCGAGAAGAGAGACCAAAGGACGGAGCCAGAGAGAGAGAGAGAGAGAAGAGGGCGGGGGACGGGGUAUCCGGGGGCACUACAG
RNAcentral lists this long non-coding RNA (372 nucleotides) under Homo sapiens (human). Its description in RNAcentral is "HSALNT0183766". The record is from RNAcentral. Lineage: Eukaryota; Metazoa; Chordata; Mammalia; Primates; Hominidae.